Molecule: small nuclear RNA, 191 nt
Organism: Lontra canadensis (Northern American river otter)
Lineage: Eukaryota; Metazoa; Chordata; Mammalia; Carnivora; Mustelidae
Product: U2 spliceosomal RNA
Exons: 1
Source: RefSeq, a predicted model, not a curated record
AAACCUUCCCAGCCUUUUAGCUAAGAUCAAGGGUAGUAUCUGUUCUUACUAGUUUAAAAUAAGGAAAAACUAAUCCCUCUAAGAAGUUAAACUGUCUACAGUCUCAGGAGGUCACCACCUACUAAAUUUUGUGACUCACCUAGUUGGAGGUUUGACCACACCCCUAAUACUCCCUUACAACAAGAUCUCCU